UGGAUUUUUUGCUUUCACAGGCCCUACACUGUCACAGGCGGUGGCGGAGGAGGAGGAGGAGGACCAGGACUCUCUGUCCCUCACCACACUGCACCCAUUAAGCCCUACACUGGAACAGGCCACGGAGGAGGAGGAGGAUGAUGAUGAUGCUGCUGCAUUUAGUGACGACGAGCCAGAAUACAUUUUUGUCCGUCGCCAACCAGUGGAGGAGACACCUG
Molecule: long non-coding RNA, 218 nt
Organism: Pseudophryne corroboree (corroboree frog)
Lineage: Eukaryota; Metazoa; Chordata; Amphibia; Anura; Myobatrachidae
Exons: 4
Source: RefSeq, a predicted model, not a curated record